GUAGAGUACAAUAAUCAAAAAUCCUAUAAAUAUCACUGUUUAAAAUACAGUAGGUACAGUCAGUGUAAUGUAAUCUUGUAACUAUCCUGCUGACAUCUGAUUGAGAUUAUUACCUUCUUUCGUAGUAGCCUAAAAUGUGAUCUUACAACUCUGGUAACUAAAACUGGAGACAUUUGCUACUUUGUGCUACCUGCUCAUUCAAAAUUACGAAAUAACAGCAGGGAAAUUAUGUUUGUUUUUACAGGUUAUUAAAAGAAUGACCCAGGUUCCUGAGGAGCUGACCUGAAUGACCAUCAUGGCCUCGAUCCGUUGUGCCUUUGUAUUCUUUGCAAAAUGCAAUGAAUAUUUACAGAGCUGACCAUCCAUGGCCGUUUGAGAAUCAGAGGAAUGGAAAGCAACAGCAUCCUCCAUGGAAGGUCUGUCAAGCUGAGCACACAAGUCCUGGGGCACAGGAAUCCGCUGGACGACAUCCCAAUAAGGAAGAGGGUCUUUGAUGAUCUCGAAGAGGACAAGAAAGAGGACUUAUAUUGGAUACUGUAAUACAGUGCAUUGUAGGCUGUAUACUGUACAAUAAACAAAUUGUAUGGCCCUGAA
Molecule: long non-coding RNA, 594 nt
Organism: Alosa alosa (allis shad)
Lineage: Eukaryota; Metazoa; Chordata; Actinopteri; Clupeiformes; Clupeidae
Exons: 3
Source: RefSeq, a predicted model, not a curated record